This 6650-nucleotide long non-coding RNA is filed under the name Gallus gallus (chicken). Its description in RNAcentral is "lncRNA (ENSGALG00010008805.1)". Lineage: Eukaryota; Metazoa; Chordata; Aves; Galliformes; Phasianidae. The record is from RNAcentral.
GGGGACGGGGAGGACGGGACAGAAAGUUCGGCAUCGACGGGGCGGGAGGUGGGGGCGCUGCCCCGCGCCUUUGUUCAGCGGGGAGAGGACCUGCGGCGGAGCCGAGACGACCGCGCAGAUAGGCACGCACCCGGCAGCGCGGCCCCGCGCCCACGGGACGAGGAGGAGGAGGGAGGCAGAAGGUCCCCUUGCAGCCUCCCUCACUCUCUCCCUCCCUCCAAGGUCAAAACAUGGCUGUCCAAAGAAUGGGAUGCUUGCCAAAACAUCAAUCUGUGCUGAGUGCCAUACUCAUUAUCCUUCCAGUGGUGGAUUACAACUCGGGUCUCCUCAGGAGGUGACUGAUGUGGAACAAACUGUACGACUGUCUUUGCUGUUUGGAUACGUGUGUAAGUUAACGGGCUACUGGGAGAAGAUGAAGAGGCUUUUGCAGAAAAAUGAGGAUAUCAUGGGAAGUGCUGCUGCUAACCAUUUGGAUUAUAUUGCUGUCUGACACAGAAGUUCUGCAGAUUACGUAAGGAUGCGGUCAGUGCCUGCGUUUGGCUUGCCCUUACACAGAAGAGUGUCUCUGAGACUUGGAGUUCAGAUGAAGGGAAGAAAGCAGCAGGAACUCUCCAGAUCUUUUUUGUUAUGUGAUUGCUGAAGCAUUUUCCUGGCACAGCAGUAAUGAUUGAUGAACACACUUCAGACUAGGAGCCACAGAGCAGUGAGGAUUUAUGCAUCUGGAAUAGAACUAUGAAUGGGAUUGCAGGAUUUACAUGGAGGACUCUGAAAUCCCUCACUUCCUGCUCCAGGAAGGGUAGGUGAAUGGGAUAAUUCAUAAUUAACUUGGUCCUUACUUCAGAAGGUUGUUAGUCAAAACAGGAAGAUAUAAUUCAGAUGAAUGUAUGUGAGAAUAGAAGAGACUUCAGAUGCAGACACACCCCUUAAUUGCAAACACCAGACUUCAGAAUUUUCUGUUCCUGUUUAGUGGAAAGAGGGUUCCCAUAAAGAGUAGCAUGAGGUUGCUACAAAUUACCCCUCCCUCAGCCUGAUCCCCCAGCUGAUACAGAGCUUUUGUAUUUGGUAGCUUUUCACCCAAAGUUGGAGAGUUCUGAAAUGAUGUAAGGGGACUAGAGAUGCACAAGUUGUUCCUAGCAGCUGCAGCCCAGGUUUGGGUUUCUCUUGCAUCCAUCUCUUACUUCUUCACUGCCCACAGAAGGGAAGAGAGAAAUCAGGAGCCAAACCCUUUGGAUCGGUGUGAGUUCACUUCCGGCUCUUUCUUUGUUUCUCACUGAUGCAUAGGGCCAUUAUGAGAGAAUGGCACAUAACUGAUAUUGAAACUAAAUCAUUUCUUUCUUGUUUCUUUCUACCUUGAAAGUAUUUAAUGCAUACAGACUUCAAGUUUUGAUCUGUGAAUGAGAUCUAUGCUUCUUAGUACAAUCUGUUCAGCAGGAGUAGAUACAACUUCUGUUGUAAAAGUGUAAGACUGUGGAGCUCUUAAAAUUUUUGCAGGGGUUCACAAUUCAUCCACGUAGGGUGGAUCAGGAUUUUGUUUGUAAUUCUGUGUAAGUAAUGAUGUUGAACAGUGCCUACGAGUGUGAACUCUGGAUAGCAGAUAUCACUAUCUGCAUAACUCCUGAGGCAAGCUGUGACACAAUAGUAAAGAACUAGUAAAAUUGAACUCUAACACAAGAACUAGUAAAACUGAGCUCUAAUGCAGGCAGAUUAGCAGCAGAAUCUUUGUAUUAAUUUGAAUGUUCUAAUAGCAUAGGUUUGUUUUGUCUAUUUAAGCAGGGCUAAAAAUAGAAGCUGCAUCAUCCAGGGCAGCGUGGGAUGGCUUCCUAAAUGAGUCUUUCCCUUACAUGAGUGAGGACAGAUAAUCCCCCCAAAAAGACAUGAGUCUGGGCAGGACUUCAGAAAGCCAGCACUGAGAUGUUGUCACACUUCCUACAGCACUGCAACCCAGAGGGAAUGGGACAGGAGGAAUGGUUCUGAUGAUGAUACUAUUGCCUUCAAGAUGCUAGGGAGGAAGUCUGAAGCUUUUCUUGAACCACAAAUCUGCAACUCAUGGAGAGGAAGGAGAAGUGUAUAGUGAGGUGGAGCAGGUUACAGCAAGGUGUGGGUGCAUCUUGGCACAUGGAGGGGGAGCAGGACAGGCAGCAGAACAGCAACGCUGUCAGUAGUAUGUUGGAGUGGCUGGAGCUCUGUGAGCAGAGGAAGAAAGCAAAUGCAAGCGACUUCUCCAGAAGAAGGAGUGGGAUGAAAGGAUGCAGUAGGGUGAAGAGGGUGGGAGUAUUCCUGUUGAAUGAUAUACAACAAAUACUUUCUUCCCUCUGUAGGUGUUUUUUGCUGGGCUGUAUUUGAGUGUAAAUUUGAGAAUCUCCAUCCUCUGCAGAGAGAGAAAAAGUGAAGUAAAGGUUGAGAGCCAGGAAUAAAACUUUUGUGAACUGGAGGAAAAAUCAGGGGUGAAAAGUGUACAGGCAAUAAUAACAAAAAAUAUUUUUUUGGAGGGGAAAUUUGCAAGAUAGGGGAUGGGAAGGAUGGGAAAGCAUCGUCACACUGCCCUCAAAUGUUUGGUUUGGUAGAAGGGGACUGGGGAAGCAACAUUCCUCCCACUGUAAGCAAGGAUCAGGUUUGUGACUGCCUGAGGAAUAUGAACAUCCUGAAAACCUACAGGUCUUGAUGAGGUACAUCCCAGAGUCCAAAGGAAAUUGGCUGAUGUGGUGGCCAACCCACUCUAUGGUACUGGAAAGGUCAUGGCAAUCAGGUGAUGUUUGGAUGAUGGAAAAAAGGCAACAUCACAACAAUUUUUAAGGGUAAAAAGGAUUACCUUCAGUGGACUGAUCAGUAGACAAAGAACUGGCUGCAGGAUCUAGUCCAGAGAGUGAUGGUCUAUGGCUCAAUGUCAGGUUGGAGAUCAGUGACAAGUGAUGUCCCCUAAGGGUCCGUACUGGGACCAAUACUCUUUAAUAUCUUCAUCAGUAAUGCUGACAGUGGGGUGGAGUGCACUCUCAGCAAGUCUGCUGAUGACACCAAGCUGUGGGGUACAAUUGACACACCAGAGGGAUGGGAUGCAAUCCAGAGGGAUUUAGACAGUCUUGAACAGAGGGCCCAGGAGAACCUCAUGAGGUUCAACAAAUCCAAAUGCAUGGUAUUGCACCUCAGUUGAGUCAACAUCUUGUACCAAUACAAGCUAGGAGAUGAAAGGUCUGAGCACAGCCCUGGUGAAAAAUACCUGGGGGUACUGGUGGAUGGCAAGCUGGACAUGAGCCAGCAGUGUGCCCUCACAGCCCAGAAAGUCAACCAUACCCUGGGCUGUAUCAAAAGAUGCAUGACCAGCAGGUCGAGGGAGGUGAUCCUGCCCCUCUGCUGUGCACUGCUGAGGCCUCACUGGGAGUAUUGCAUCCACAUGUGGAGUGCUCAGUACCGGAGAGCUCUGCGCUCAUUUUCUCCAGAUUGGAGAGAGAUGGAUUUGAUGAGUGGACUGUUUGAUGGACAAAGAACUGGCUGUGGGAUCAAGUCCAGAGAGUAGUGGUCAAUGCCUCAGUGUCUGGACGGAAGAUCUGUGACGAGCACUGUCCCCCAGGGCAUCAGUGCUGGGAUCCAUACUCUUUACUGUCUUCCUCAGUGAUGCUGACAGUGGGGUCGAGUGAACCCUCAGUUAGUCUGCUGAUGAUGCCAAGCUGUCGGGUGCAGCCAAGACACCAGAGGAAUGGGAUGCCAUCCAGGGAGACCUAGACAGGCUUGAGCAGUGGGCCCAGGUGAAUCUCAUGAUGUUCAACAACUACAGAACGGCAGUCCUGAAUAACCGAGGAUGUCCCAGUGUACUGGAGAUGAGCAAAUGUGAUGCCCAUCUUCAAAAAUGGCCAGAAAGAUGAUCCUGGUAGCUACAUACCUAUAGACCUCAGUCUCACCUCAGUGCCCGGGAAAGUUAUGGAACGGAUAAUCUUGGGAGCCAUCAUGGACCAAUUAAACAUCAACCAGGGAAUCAGGCCCAGGCAGCAUGGGUUUACGAAUGGUAGGUCCUGUCUGACAAACCUGAUUUCAUUCUAUGACAAGGUGACCCGCUUAGUGGAUGAAGGUAAGGCUGUCGAUGUGGUCUACCUGGACUUCAGUAAAGCCUUUGACACUGCCCCCCACAGCAUUCUUAGUGGGAAGCUGGCUGCUCACGGUUUGGAUGGGCGUAUGCUCCGCUGGGUGAAACACUGGCUGUAUGGCCGGGCCCAAAGAGUUGUGGUCAAUGGAAUUAAAUCCAGUUGGCAGCUGGUCACGAGCGGUGUCCCCCAGGGUUCGCUACUGGGGCCACUUCUGUUUAACAUCCUUAUUAACAGUCCUGAUGAGGGGAUUGAGUGCACCCUCAGUAAGUUUGCAGAUGACACCAAGUUGGGAGGGAGUGUUGAUUUGCCAGAGGGGAGAAAGGCACUACAGAGGGACCUGGAUAGACUGGAUUGAUGGGCCAAGGUUAACUGUAUGAGUUUCAACAGGGCCAAGUGUCGGGUCCUUCAUUUUGGUCACAACAGCCCCAGGCAACCCUACAGGCUUGGGGAGGAGUGGCUGGAAAGCUGCCUGAUGGAAAGGGACCUCGGUGUACUGAUGGACAGUUGGCUGAAUAGGAGCUAGCAGUGUGCCCAGGUGGCCAAGAAGGUCAGUGGCAUCCUGGUUUGUAUCACGAAUGGUGCGGUGAGCAGGGCUGGGGAAGUAAUCCUGUCCCUGUACUUGGCACUUGUGAGGCCUCACCUCGAGUACCAUGUUCAGUUUUGGGCACUUCAGUACAGAAAGGACAUUGAGGUGCUGGAGCAGGUCCAAAGAAGGGCAACAAGGCUUGUGAAGGGCUUGGAGAAUAUGUCCUAUGAGGAGCGACUGAAGGAACUGGGGCUGUUUAGUCAGGGGAAAAGGAGGCUGAGGGGAGACCUUUUUGCUCUCUUCCAACAUCUGAAAGGUACUUACAGCGAGAGUGGGGUUGGUCUCUACUCACUUGUGACAGGUGACAGGACGAGGGAAAAUGGCCUUAAGUUGUGCCAGGGUACAUUUAGGUGGGAUAUCAGGAAAAACUUCUUUACUGAAAGGGUUACUAAGCACUGGAGUAGGCUCCCCGGGGAGGUGGCUGAGAAACCAUCCCUGGAUGUGCUUUAAAAAAUAUUUGAAUGUGGUGCUCAGGGACAUGAUUUAGCAGAGGGUUGUUAGUUAGGGUAGUGUGGUUAGGUUGUGGUCAGACUCGAUGAUCUUUAAGGUCUUUUCCAGCCUGAGAAAUUGUAUGAUUCUAUGAAAAGCACGGCCUCGCACCUGGGUUAAGACAACCCUCACUACCAUGAUAGGCUGGAGGAUGAAAGCACUGAGCACAGCCCUGCCGAGAAACACCUGGGGGUACUGCUGGGUGGCAAGCUGGACAUGAGCCAGCAGUGUGCCCUCUCAGUACAGAAAGCCAACCGUACCCUGGGCUGCGUGACCAGCAGGUCGAGGGAGGUGAUCCUGCCCCUCUGCUGUGCACUGCUGAGGCCUCACUGGUAGUAUUGCGUCCACAUGUGGAUUGCUCAGUACUGGAGAGACACGGACCUGUUGGAGCACGUCCAGAGAAGGGCUGUAGACGUGAUCCAUGGAAUGGAACACCUCUCCUGUGAGGAGGACAGGCUGAGAGAGCUGGGGCUCUUCAGCCUGGAGAAGAGAAGGCUGCAGGGUGACCUGAUAGCGGCCUUUCAGUAUCUAAAGGGGAGCUACAGGAAAGGGGACAGACUCUUGAGUAGGGUCUGUGGUGACAGAACAAGGGGAAAUGGUUUCAAGCUCAGGGAGGGUAGGUUUAAAUUAGGUACAAGGAAAAAACCUUUUGCAGUGAGGGUGCUGAGUCACUGGAACAGGUUACCGAGUGUUGUUGAUGUUGUUGAUCUGUUUUAGAUCCCUGCUUUAGGAAGACAUAUAGUGGUAAAAGGGAAGAUAUAUAGUGGUAAAACUGAAUUUCUAGGUUUCUCAUCUUUAUUCACCAGUAUAAUGCAAAUGGCAGCUCCCAUUGGAGGGAAGAAACUUCAACAUGGCAAGGAAAUGAAAAUGCUUACUAUAUUUGUUUGCAUGCAUGAAGAAUGCUCUAACGCAAAUGUGUGAAAACAGCAGAAACAUUUUGGUAAUGCCUUCUGGACUUUCUGAGUUUCAAAGAGAGGGAGUGCCUAGGUUCAGGCAGCUGAGUUACCAUGAGCCUGCAGAUCCACACCUGAGUGCCUUGUGCUUUAAAAUGUGCUCUGUUUUUCCAAUCUUUCAUAUGUUGACUUGCUCAGGAAAAACAAAACAAAACAAACAAAAAAACAAACAAAAACAAACAAACAAAAAAAAACCCCAACGUUUUUAAUGCUUGUUUUGAAGUUUGUCAUAAACAGGUUCAGUUAUACACUGGCCUGUGUAUUCACCACUUAAGGUAAGAUUAAAAUGAUUUUGCAUGUUUCGCAGAUUUGUAUGAGUAGUAUUUGUUCUGUAAUGGGUAAGUGGGCUGUGACCUGGAGAGAUGUGGCUUCUGUCAGAAAGCAGAGCAGGCCUCAGGCUGCUGUAGUAUCUCAAGUUGGCAUAGACUUUCAAAAGAACACUAUGCUUGGCGAGGCAGAGAGUGGCUGUAGUCAGUUUUGCCUCAUGCCUGCGUUUUCUUGGCUGUCAGUGUGUUUGCGAAGUGUGUGUGAUAUGUUAGUUUUAUC